This 800-nucleotide ribosomal RNA is filed under the name Rhodococcus coprophilus. RNAcentral describes it as "bacterial SSU rRNA". It matches the Rfam family "Bacterial small subunit ribosomal RNA", at positions 48 to 859 of the family's 1533-position model. The record is from RNAcentral. Lineage: Bacteria; Bacillati; Actinomycetota; Actinomycetes; Mycobacteriales; Nocardiaceae.
UUAACACUUGCAAGUCGAACGAUGAUGCCCAGCUUGCUGGGCGGAUUAGUGGCGAACGGGUGAGUAACACGUGGGUGAUUUGCCNUGCACUUCGGGAUAAGCCUGGGAAACUGGGUCUAAUACCGGAUAUGACCACCGGAUGCAUGUUUUGUGGUGGAAAGGUUUACUGGUGCAGGAUGAGCCCGCGGCCUAUCAGCUUGUUGGUGGGGUAAUGGCCUACCAAGGCGACGACGGGUAGCCGGCCUGAGAGGGCGACCGGCCACACUGGGACUGAGACACGGCCCAGACUCCUACGGGAGGCAGCAGUGGGGAAUAUUGCACAAUGGGCGAAAGCCUGAUGCAGCGACGCCGCGUGAGGGAUGACGGCCUUCGGGUUGUAAACCUCUUUCAGCAGGGACGAAGCGCAAGUGACUGUACCUGCAGAAGAAGCACCGGCUAACUACGUGCCAGCAGCCGCGGUAAUACGUAGGGUGCGAGCGUUGUCCGGAAUUACUGGGCGUAAAGAGUUCGUAGGCGGUUUGUCGCGUCGUGUGUGAAAUCCCGCAGCUCAACUGCGGGCUUGCAGGCGAUACGGGCAGACUUGAGUACUGCAGGGGAGACUGGAAUUCCUGGUGUAGCGGUGAAAUGCGCAGAUAUCAGGAGGAACACCGGUGGCGAAGGCGGGUCUCUGGGCAGUAACUGACGCUGAGGAACGAAAGCGUGGGUAGCGAACAGGAUUAGAUACCCUGGUAGUCCACGCCGUAAACGGUGGGCGCUAGGUGUGGGUUUCCUUCCACGGGAUCCGUGCCGUAGCUAACGCA